This 902-nucleotide long non-coding RNA is filed under the name Marmota monax (woodchuck). Lineage: Eukaryota; Metazoa; Chordata; Mammalia; Rodentia; Sciuridae. The record is from RNAcentral.
CUCAAUCUUCCUGGUCCUAGACUCUAGUUUUUUUUUUGUGUGUGUGUGUGUUUCGUUUUGUUUUUUUUUGGUGCUGGGUCAACCCAGGACCUCACACAUGCCAAUCAGGUGCUCUGCUGAGCCAAUUCCCCAGCCCCAGUUCAAGUUUAGAUGGAUGUCCUGGCAUGAGUUUGUUUCAGGCAAAGGUGGUAUGCAGAGGAUAUACUAAGAAAGGUGAGGUGCUCAGGCUGAGAAGUAUUUGGGCUGAAGCCAUGUCACUCACACAGGGGCCAUCUUCCAUGUUCUCCUCUAAAUGUGUUGCGUUUGACUGAAGAGCAGCUCCCAGCUCCCAGUGUUGAAGAACAGGUAACUGUAGAAGAAGAAAACUUCCUACGUCUUACUCAGGUCAGGAAACACAGAAAAUUAAGAUUCUGAGUCCCACAGUGUGAGCAAGCUCUCCUACCUGCCUGGCUGAUGGUGAAAAUGGAGAACAUGAUAGAAGGUCAUAUUAACAGGUAUUACCACAAGUUCCCAGAUGCCAGAAGUCUGCAACACUGAGCAAGCAAAAGGAGCUACACGGAAGUGGAGAAAGUCAAAGAAUAUAAGAAUUUCCAUUGGAUGUCAGACCCCUGAUCCUUUCAGGCCAGAAUUCUCUGACAAUAACAAACAUUGGGCUGAAAUGAGGGAGUUAGCUAUUGUCCAGAGCUCAUACUUUUUAUGACUCUUUUAUUUAUUUACUUAUUAUUUUAGUCAGCUUUCUCACUGCUGCAACCAAAAGACCUGACAAUUUUAGAGAAGGAAAAUUUUAUUUGGAUCUCAUGGAUUUAGAGAUCUCAGUCCAUAGACAGCUGACUCCAUUCCUUGGGACCUGAGAUAAGAUCAUGGCAGAAGGAUGUGGGGAAGAAAGCAGCUGGGAACAUGGC